This 165-nucleotide ribosomal RNA is filed under the name uncultured bacterium. RNAcentral's name for it is "partial 16S ribosomal RNA". It matches the Rfam family "Bacterial small subunit ribosomal RNA", at positions 355 to 511 of the family's 1533-position model. The record is from RNAcentral.
UAGGGAAUCUUCCACAAUGGGACGAAAGUCUGAUGGAGCAACGCCGCGUGAGUGAAGAAGGGUUUCGGCUCGUAAAACUCUGUUGUUAAAGAAGAACAUAUCUGAGAGUAACUGUUCAGGUAUUGACGGUAUUUAACCAGAAAGCCACGGCUAACUACGUGCCAG